This 429-nucleotide ribosomal RNA is filed under the name Actinomycetes bacterium. Its description in RNAcentral is "Actinobacteria bacterium partial 16S ribosomal RNA". It matches the Rfam family "Bacterial small subunit ribosomal RNA", at positions 355 to 776 of the family's 1533-position model. Lineage: Bacteria; Bacillati; Actinomycetota; Actinomycetes. The record is from RNAcentral.
UAGGGAAUCUUCCGCAAUGGGCGAAAGCCUGACGGAGCAACGCCGCGUGAGUGAUGAAGGUCUUCGGAUCGUAAAACUCUGUUAUUAGGGAAGAACAAAUGUGUAAGUAACUAUGCACGUCUUGACGGUACCUAAUCAGAAAGCCACGGCUAACUACGUGCCAGCAGCCGCGGUAAUACGUAGGUGGCAAGCGUUAUCCGGAAUUAUUGGGCGUAAAGCGCGCGUAGGCGGUUUUUUAAGUCUGAUGUGAAAGCCCACGGCUCAACCGUGGAGGGUCAUCGGAAACUGGAAAACUUGAGUGCAGAAGAGGAAAGUGGAAUUCCAUGUGUAGCGGUGAAAUGCGCAGAGAUAUGGAGGAACGCCAGUGGCGAAGGCGACUUUCUGGUCUGUAACUGACGCUGAUGUGCGAAAGCGUGGGGAUCAAACAGG